RNAcentral lists this ribosomal RNA (465 nucleotides) under Vreelandella stevensii. RNAcentral's name for it is "partial 16S ribosomal RNA". It matches the Rfam family "Bacterial small subunit ribosomal RNA", at positions 338 to 795 of the family's 1533-position model. The record is from RNAcentral. Lineage: Bacteria; Pseudomonadati; Pseudomonadota; Gammaproteobacteria; Oceanospirillales; Halomonadaceae.
CCUACGGGUGGCUGCAGUGGGGAAUAUUGGACAAUGGGCGAAAGCCUGAUCCAGCCAUGCCGCGUGUGUGAAGAAGGCCUUCGGGUUGUAAAGCACUUUCAGUGGGGAAGAAAGCCUUGGGGCUAAUACCCUCGAGGAAGGACAUCACCCACAGAAGAAGCACUGGCUAACUCCGUGCCAGCAGCCGCGGUAAUACGGAGGGUGCGAGCGUUAAUCGGAAUUACUGGGCGUAAAGCGCGCGUAGGCGGUCUGAUAAGCCGGUUGUGAAAGCCCCGGGCUCAACCUGGGAACGGCAUCCGGAACUGUCAGGCUAGAGUGCAGGAGAGGAAGGUAGAAUUCCCGGUGUAGCGGUGAAAUGCGUAGAGAUCGGGAGGAAUACCAGUGGCGAAGGCGGCCUUCUGGACUGACACUGACGCUGAGGUGCGAAAGCGUGGGUAGCAAACAGGAUUAGAUACCCCAGUAGUC